Molecule: ribosomal RNA, 839 nt
Filed under: Nitor circumcinctus
Lineage: Eukaryota; Metazoa; Mollusca; Gastropoda; Stylommatophora; Helicarionidae
Description: partial 16S ribosomal RNA
Rfam family: Archaeal large subunit ribosomal RNA (bases 429-616)
Source: RNAcentral
AAUUAAUUAUUUACUGCAAAGAAAUUUAAUUUAUGAAAUAUUAUAUACCUUUUGCAUAAUGGUUUAAUUAUAAUUUAUAAAAUUAUUUUUCCCGAAGUUAGAAGAUCUAAUUUUAUUAUAUUAUUUAGCUACUAAUAUAUAAUGUUUCAAAAUUAUACUAAUAAAUAAAAUUAGGGGUGAAAGGCUUAUCAAUUCUAAAGAUAUCUGGAAUAAUUUUAAAUGUAUUUAGUACAAAAUGAAAUUUGAGUAAAAAAAUGUUAAGAUUUUUUUAUGUUAGUAUAAUAAGUAAUUUUUAAUAUGAAUUAAUCUUCCAAUAUCUAAAAUAACAAAAAAAUUUUUUAUUUAAACAUCUAAACAAUAAAAUUAAAUCCUAUUAAUUUAAAUAAGAAUAAACUCUGUUAAAAUUAGUAUAAUAGUUUAUAUUUAAAUAAGGAACUCGGCUAAUUAUUUAUUCAUCUGUUUAUCAAAAACAUAGUCUUAUGGAUUAAUAUAAGAUGCAACCUGCCCAUUGAUGUAUUUUAACGGCCGCAGUACCUUGACUGUGCUAAGGUAGCAUAAUAAAUUGACUCUUAAUUGGGGCCUUGAAUGAAAGGAUUAAUGAAUAAUUUCUGUCUUAUAAAAUAAUUUAUUAUAAAUUACUUAAAAGGUGAAAAUUCCUUUAAUAUAUAUAUAAUAGACGAGAAGACCCCAGGAGUUUUUAAUUUUGUUGGGGCGACAGUAUAGCAUUAAACCUAUAUAUAAAUAAUUAAAUAAAACGAAUAAUUUUAAUUAAAAAUAAACUACCCUGGGGAUAACAGCACAAUUUAAUUUUAAGUUUGUGACCUCGAUGUUGGACUAGG